ACAUAGCGUGGGAGAAUGACGGGCUGGACCUCUCGGGGUUACAGCCUUGCUGAAUUAUUCACCCUUGUCUUUUGCGUACUUCUUGUUUCCUUGGUGGGUUCGCCCACCACUAGGACAAACAUAAACCUUUUGUAAUUGCAAUCAGCGUCAGUAACAAAUUAAUAAUUACAACUUUCAACAACGGAUCUCUUGGUUCUGGCAUCGAUGAAGAACGCAGCGAAAUGCGAUAAGUAGUGUGAAUUGCAGAAUUCAGUGAAUCAUCGAAUCUUUGAACGCACAUUGCGCCCUUUGGUAUUCCAAAGGGCAUGCCUGUUCGAGCGUCAUUUGUACCCUCAAGCUUUGCUUGGUGUUGGGCGUCUUGUCUCUAGCUUUGCUGGAGACUCGCCUUAAAGUAAUUGGCAGCCGGCCUACUGGUUUCGGAGCGCAGCACAAGUCGCACUCUCUAUCAGCAAAGGUCUAGCAUCCAUUAAGCCUUUUUUUCAACUUUUGACCUCGGAUCAGGUAGGGAUACCCGCUGAACUUAAGCAUAUCAAUAAGGCGGAGGAA
RNAcentral lists this ribosomal RNA (546 nucleotides) under Alternaria sp. BS07. RNAcentral describes it as "eukaryotic LSU rRNA". The stretch from base 170 to 323 matches the Rfam family "5.8S ribosomal RNA". Lineage: Eukaryota; Fungi; Ascomycota; Dothideomycetes; Pleosporales; Pleosporaceae. The record is from RNAcentral.